Crucibulum laeve is the source of this 93-nucleotide non-coding RNA. The record is from the annotation of a GenBank genome assembly. Lineage: Eukaryota; Fungi; Basidiomycota; Agaricomycetes; Agaricales; Nidulariaceae.
UCCUUCUUAGCUCAGUUGACAGAGCGCGUCACUAGUAUGGAUAUGUGAACAGUUUUCAUGACGAGGUCAGUCGUUCAAGUCGGCUAGAAGGAA